CGUUAAGAGGGCAAGGUCUGGUGCCAGCAGCCGCGGUAAUUCCAGCUCCAAUAGCGUAUAUUAAAGUUAGUUGUCAGUUAAAAAGACUCGUAGUUGGACCUUGGACCUGGACAGGCGGUCCGCCUCACGGCGAGUACUGUCUUGCUGGGUCGUUUCCUCUUGGUGAUCUGUUGUUUCGGCAGCAGGGAACCAGGACCUUUACUUUAGAAAAAUUAGAGUGUUCAAAGCAGGCUCGACGCCGGAAUAUAUUAGCAUGGAAUAAUAAAAUAGGACGUGCGGUUCUAUUUUGUUGGUUUUUGGAAUCGCCGUAAUGAUUAAUAGGGACAGUCGGGGGCAUUAGUACUCACAUGCUAGAGGUGAAAUUCUUGGAUUUUGUGAAGACUAACUUCUGCGAAAGCAUUUGCCAAGGAUGUUUUCAUUAAUCAAGAACGAAGGUUAGGGUAUCGAAAACGAUUAGAUACCGUUGUAGUCUUAACAGUAAACUAUGCCGACUAGGGAUCGGUCGAUGUUAUCUUUUUGACUCGAUCGGCACCUUACCGAGAAAUCAAGUUUUUGGGUUCUCGGGUCGACGCGGCCG
RNAcentral lists this ribosomal RNA (577 nucleotides) under uncultured eukaryote. Its description in RNAcentral is "SSU rRNA". It matches the Rfam family "Eukaryotic small subunit ribosomal RNA", at positions 539 to 1116 of the family's 1831-position model. The record is from RNAcentral.